RNAcentral lists this ribosomal RNA (253 nucleotides) under uncultured bacterium. RNAcentral describes it as "partial 16S ribosomal RNA". It matches the Rfam family "Bacterial small subunit ribosomal RNA", at positions 524 to 776 of the family's 1533-position model. The record is from RNAcentral.
UACGUAGGGUGCGAGCGUUGUCCGGAAUUAUUGGGCGUAAAGAGCUUGUAGGCGGUUUGUCGCGUCUGCCGUGAAAAUCCGGGGCUCAACCCCGGACUUGCGGUGGGUACGGGCAGACUAGAGUGUGGUAGAGGAGACUGGAAUUCCUGGUGUAGCGGUGAAAUGCGCAGAUAUCAGGAGGAACACCGAUGGCGAAGGCAGGUCUCUGGGCCACUACUGACGCUGAGAAGCGAAAGCGUGGGGAGCGAACAGG